Molecule: ribosomal RNA, 490 nt
Filed under: uncultured bacterium
Lineage: Bacteria
Description: partial 16S ribosomal RNA
Rfam family: Bacterial small subunit ribosomal RNA
Source: RNAcentral
AUUGAACGCUGGCGGCAGGCUUAACACAUGCAAGUCGAGCGGUAGCACAGGGGAGCUUGCUCCCUGGGUGACGAGCGGCGGACGGGUGAGUAAUGUCUGGGAAACUGCCUGAUGGAGGGGGAUAACUACUGGAAACGGUAGCUAAUACCGCAUAACGUCGCAAGACCAAAGAGGGGGACCUUCGGGCCUCUUGCCAUCAGAUGUGCCCAGAUGGGAUUAGCUAGUAGGUGGGGUAAUGGCUCACCUAGGCGACGAUCCCUAGCUGGUCUGAGAGGAUGACCAGCCACACUGGAACUGAGACACGGUCCAGACUCCUACGGGAGGCAGCAGUGGGGAAUAUUGCACAAUGGGCGCAAGCCUGAUGCAGCCAUGCCGCGUGUGUGAAGAAGGCCUUCGGGUUGUAAAGCACUUUCAGCGAGGAGGAAGGUGGUGAGCUUAAUACGUUCAUCAAUUGACGGUACUCGCAGAAGAAGCACCGGCUAACUCCGUG